This is a long non-coding RNA of Cololabis saira (Pacific saury), 568 nucleotides long. RefSeq lists it as uncharacterized. The record is from RefSeq and is a predicted model, not a curated record. The transcript is spliced from 4 exons. Lineage: Eukaryota; Metazoa; Chordata; Actinopteri; Beloniformes; Belonidae.
AGGCCAAACUCCAGGCUUCUUCUGAGACUAUAGAGGUCUAAUGCUUCUGAACCCAUAAAUGUCACAUCUACACCUUCCACAAGUUCCAGCCAUCAACAUGGACAGUGGCGUCAAUUCAGUCGAAGCAAAGCAAAGGUGUGGCGGUUGCCAUACCUCGCCAUACCCAAUUGACGCCCCUGAACAUGGAUCAGCAGCUCCACAUGAGUGAACUGAGUGGUCUGCUAUCCUGUCUGAAGGGGGGAAGGAGGGAUCUGGUGUGGAGAACCACUACCUCAUGAAAUGCUUCAACAGGAGGAAAUGCCCAGCGCCUUGGCCACCAUCCACAUGUAGACUAUGACCAGGUAAAGAUCAAAGACUUGGACAUAUCUAACAACCCUCUGUUGAACAAGAGACGCAGGAGGCCAGUGUCUGGAGAAUCUGAUCGUACAGAGGAAGCUGACACGGAGGAGAAGAGUGGAACAGUCACACAGGAGUUGCAUUCACUGAACAACAUGGGCAAUGCCGAACAAAAUUAGUGUUAAAAUCCAGUGUUUUCAUAUCCUUAUAUAUCCUUUGUCCCUUUUUACAU